This is a non-coding RNA of Lonchura striata (white-rumped munia), 633 nucleotides long. The record is from RefSeq and is a predicted model, not a curated record. NCBI's taxonomy places the organism in Eukaryota, Metazoa, Chordata, Aves, Passeriformes, Estrildidae.
GGGAACAAAUAAGAAAAUCUCUUCAUCUCCCUUAGAGCCAGUUCAUCCUGAAGAUAUCUCCCAGUGGUUGUCAUUAGCCCUGAUGGAAAACAGCUGAGCCCCAGCACAGCUACACUGAUCUUCACCAAGCAGAAAGUCACUGGAUGCACAUGUUACACCAUGGACUGUCUGUGUGCCAGGAGGGAGCUAAUGACAGGAAAACAGCAAUGCCUCAUCUGUGCUACCCUGAUGGGUUGGGUAUCUGAAUUUGAUCAGUUUAGAAGAAAGGCUUUGAAUAAAGUAUUACAAUAACAACUAGGAUGGAUCAACUCCCAUAUUAAAGAAAAGGGGUGAGCCUGGAUCAUCUCAUUUAGACACCCACUGUGCAAAUCACCCUGAAGUUUCAAUGAUGAUUAGUGAAGAGAUAAAGACAUGAUGAGUAUCUGAUUUGUCUGAAUCAUCUAAGGCCAAAAACAUCUUCAAAAUGCAUACCUUUUUUUCCCUUCUCUAUCUUUGUUGAAUAUUAAAAGAGCAUAUGAUGGCUGCCUGGAAUAUCCAGUAUGGGUUUUAAAUGUGAGAUGAAUUUCAACUGCAUACCAAACAUACAGCACAAAUAAAUGCUGAGUUUAUGAAAGGGGCAGUACUCCAUCAGCU